Molecule: long non-coding RNA, 225 nt
Organism: Drosophila elegans
Lineage: Eukaryota; Metazoa; Arthropoda; Insecta; Diptera; Drosophilidae
Exons: 2
Source: RefSeq, a predicted model, not a curated record
UUUACACGCGUGCGGUUCGCUUGGAUUCGCUCCUCCUUCGGUCCAUAAAGUGCAAAACAGAGAGAGAGAGUGUGUGUGUGUGUGCGAAGCCGCCAAAGAUGAGUUAUUACCCCAGGGACUAGAAGUUGGUCAGACAGUGCACGGCAUAUCAAUUAGAAGAAAGCGCCGGGCGAGGCCAUCACCCUUUGGAUUGGCACAUGCGACUCCGCCCCGGACAGCAAAUAG